Molecule: long non-coding RNA, 425 nt
Organism: Papaver somniferum (opium poppy)
Lineage: Eukaryota; Viridiplantae; Streptophyta; Magnoliopsida; Ranunculales; Papaveraceae
Exons: 3
Source: RefSeq, a predicted model, not a curated record
AUGGUUUUACUGGUUUUGAUGUUGUAAUGCGUGGUGGAUUGUCUUCUGAUUCUCGCGCUACUACUUGGGAUCAGGCAUCUUUGCUUACUACAUCAAUUAAACACGCUACUAAAUUUUUAUCAUCCGAUGGAACUUUUGUCACCAAGAUGUUCGACGGAGCAGAAGACUACAAUCCCAUGCUCUACUGUCUUGAGCAGAAAAGCACUUACAAAUGGACUAUAAUGCGGCUGAAUUAACUGCGCUAAAGUGGCAAGUGAUAGUGGCCAAAGGGAACACUUAUUAACCAAAGACUGUAUUCGUUUGGUAAUAACUAAGGUCGAUUAUUCUCAGUUCGGCCAAAUGGUUGGUCCGAGGAAGUUCCUUAGCGUUGGUAAAUGGGAUGCCAGGUUAACAGUCUUUCUCCCAUCUCGAUAGUCAUAAUUUAA